Molecule: ribosomal RNA, 469 nt
Filed under: Clostridioides difficile
Lineage: Bacteria; Bacillati; Bacillota; Clostridia; Peptostreptococcales; Peptostreptococcaceae
Description: partial 23S ribosomal RNA
Rfam family: Bacterial large subunit ribosomal RNA
Source: RNAcentral
UACGGAGGUAGAGCACUGAAUGUCCUAGGGGGUAUUGCACCUACCGAAGACUAUCAAACUCCGAAUGCCGUCAUCUUAUACUUGGGAGUCAGACUGUGGGUGAUAAGAUUCAUAGUCGAAAGGGCAACAGCCCAGAUCGUCAGCUAAGGUCCCUAAAUGUAAGUUAAGUGGUAAAGGAUGUGGGAUUGCACAGACAACCAGGAUGUUGGCUUAGAAGCAGCCACUCAUUCAAAGAGUGCGUAAUAGCUCACUGGUCGAGUGAUCCUGCGCCGAAGAUUUCCGGGGCUAAAACUUACUACCGAAGCUACGGCAUCAUUAUGAUGGGUAGGGGAGCUUCCCAUACGGGUUGAAGCAUGACCGUAAGGACAUGUGGACAGUAUGGGAGUGAGAAUGUUGGCAUGAGUAGCGAGAUGUGGGUGAGAAUCCCACAGGCCGUAAACCCAAGGUUUCCAGGGGAAGGUUCGUCCGC